Molecule: ribosomal RNA, 521 nt
Filed under: uncultured bacterium
Lineage: Bacteria
Description: partial 16S ribosomal RNA
Rfam family: Bacterial small subunit ribosomal RNA
Source: RNAcentral
GACGAACGCUGGCGGCGUGCCUAAUACAUGCAAGUCGAGCGGGCCUCCGGAGGUGCUUGCACCUCCGGACGGCCAGCGGCGGACGGGUGAGUAACACGUGGGCAACCUGCCUUUGAGGCCGGGAUAACACCGGGAAACCGGUGCUAAUACCGGAUACGUCCUCUUUCGCGCCUGCGAGAGGGGAGAAAGACGGUCUUUAAGGCCGUCGCUCAAAGAGGGGCCCGCGGCGCAUUAGCUGGUUGGUGGGGCAAGGGCCUACCAAGGCGACGAUGCGUUGCCGACCUGGGAGGGUGAUCGGCCACACUGGGACUGAGACACGGCCCAGACUCCUGCGGGAGGCAGCAGUAGGGAAUCAUCCGCAAUGGGCGAAAGCCUGACGGUGCAACGCCGCGUGAGUGAGGAAGGUUUUCGGAUCGUAAAGCUCUGUUGUGAGGGAAGAACAGCAUCCGGAGGAAAUGCCGGAGGUUUGCCGGUACCUCACCAGAAAGCCCCGGCUAACUACGUGCCAGCCGCCGCGGUAA